Molecule: ribosomal RNA, 371 nt
Filed under: uncultured organism
Description: partial 16S ribosomal RNA
Rfam family: Bacterial small subunit ribosomal RNA
Source: RNAcentral
GUAGGGAGCAAGCGUUAUCCGGAUUUACUGGGUGUAAAGGGCGCGCAGGCGGGAAGACAAGUUGGGAGUGAAAUCCGGGGGCUCAACCCCCGAACUGCUUUCAAAACUGUUUUUCUUGAGUGAUGGAGAGGCAGGCGGAAUUCCCAGUGUAGCGGUGAAAUGCGUAGAUAUUGGGAGGAACACCAGUGGCGAAGGCGGCCUGCUGGACAUUAACUGACGCUGAGGCGCGAAAGCGUGGGGAGCAAACAGGAUUAGAUACCCUGGUAGUCCACGCCGUAAACGAUGGAUACUAGGUGUGGGAGGUAUUGACCCCUUCCGUGCCGGCGUUAACACAAUAAGUAUCCCACCUGGGGAGUACGAUCGCAAGGUUG